AACUGACACAACUGAACAGAGAAUCAUGGUUAAGAUAUUAACUUCAGGUUCUGGUAAGAACUGCUGCCCUCAUUGGAAAGUUGCCACCAUGAGACAGAAUUGUGACUAGCAGGUCCCCUGUGCCAGUACCAACAACUUCUUCUAUUCCCAACAAACUCAGUGCACAAAUAAUGGCAAAUAUCAGCUUCUACAUGGACAAGAGUGAAUUUGUUUGCCUCAGUUGGCUUUGGGUCACUUACAAUUUCUUUUUACAGAAGAGGUUCAUUUUAUUCUUCAGAAACAAGAAGAGGAAUAGUCUAUUCCAACAUCAGCAAAAAAAUCAAAUAAUUUACUUUUUAUUAUAUUUGUUAUCCAUUUCCUCUCACUAGUGUGUGUGAAUAUAAGAGUUUUCUCAGUUUUAUUCACUGUUGUAUCCUCAGUACCUAGCCCAGUGCCUGGCAUGCAGCAUAUGUUCAAUAAAA
Molecule: long non-coding RNA, 461 nt
Organism: Canis lupus familiaris (dog)
Lineage: Eukaryota; Metazoa; Chordata; Mammalia; Carnivora; Canidae
Exons: 3
Source: RefSeq, a predicted model, not a curated record